Molecule: small RNA, 2759 nt
Filed under: Rattus norvegicus (Norway rat)
Lineage: Eukaryota; Metazoa; Chordata; Mammalia; Rodentia; Muridae
Description: uncharacterized LOC102555989
Source: RNAcentral
AGGGUUGUGAGCAUUCCUAUGACCUCGUGUGAAUCAUUACAGAUAGACUAAAGACCACCUCAAGAAAGUAAAUUACGAUCCAAGAACAUCUAUUAAAGAUCGAAUGCCUGUGCCCGGCUCUUGGUACCGUGCCAGCGCAGGCACCGAGACCUUAGUCCCCUCCUUGACCACGUUUGUUUCCUGGCCAUCCAUUGAAGAGGCUUUCUUAGCCACAAGCUUCUCCUGAGAUGGGGCAUUUGGAACGCUGGUGAUCAUUGUUUGGAGUACUGUGCACUUCCACUUUACUCACCACUGAAGCCUCAGCUUAUUUCCCUACGAUGGCUGAUAAACACCCUUGGAGAAGCACAAGAGCAUGUCUGUCAUUCACGUAGCCCAUCCUCUGCAUUGGGACAUUUAAAUACUUUUCAUUUUAGUCUGUUAUAAAUCAUUUUAAUUUUGCUAUUGCAGUUAGUUGCACUUGUAUGUAGUAGAUGAAUGUCCUUGGGCCUGUAGCUUUUGGUAGCUGCAUUCACACCAGCCCCUGAAAGCGGAGGGCACAGGCUCACACUUCCUGCUCUGCCUCACACAGCCCCGGUGCCGUCUAAAACACAGGUUCAUUGCGCAAGCUGUGAUGACUCCAUCCAGCCAUGAUUAGGUGUGUUAUUUCAUUGAAAAAUUGUUUAAAGAAAAGGUUUUAAAACACUAUCUACUAUCUUGGGGUUUUUUCCAAAGCCAGAAUACCCAGAAUAUCAUUUAUAUUUGAGUUUCAUUUUUCUCUACUGGUGUGAGACCAUAGGAGGAUCUUGUUAGCAUUAUCAAGAAUGUAAUCUUGGGACAUUGGUUUGAGUCAUCUCUGUAACAUCAGGAGGAUACCUUUCCUGGCAGGAGCAGUCAGAAACAUUCAUGGCUGGCCAUUCCAGCCCUUCUAAUAAUAUUCUAGGAUUACUCCUUCCUGCUGCCUUGAAGAUAGGUGUGAAUCAGGUAGUUUUCUCUGGCCAAUGAAGAGUGGCUCUUUUUGUAGAAGACAAAGCUAUUUUAGGAGUCGCCAUAUUCCUUUUGUCCUCAUCCAUAGUCCCAUGUCCUUUCAGCCUGGAUCCUUAGAAAGCUCUGUGAGGAAAGCAUGAACCAAAAUCCCAAAGUGGCUUAGGGGAGGUGUAUGGAUAGGGUAAGAAGUAGAUGCUCUAAGCCACCAAAACAGAGAUGCUAUGCAACCGGGCCUGACUGCCAACACCACGCCAGCACUGAAAGGCUAGUAGUGCCCAGAGCCUGAGUACAGGGACAUUUUAAUAUCAGAGACUUGCAGUGCCUCUCAGAGUAGGUGUUUUUCACAACAAGCAAAGAGUUGUGUGGUAUUUUUUUUAUGUAGCAUCCAUUCAACUCUGAGCAACAAAGUAGGUGACGACAUGGUGCCAUCUGCCAGCUCAAAUUAUUUUUGUCAUCAUAGAUUAAAAAUUCUGUUUUAAUAUUCAGCAGGGAAAUGACUUAAUGCUGGUUGGCUUCUGGGCAAAUUUUUUAAAAAUUGCUUCUCUUUUGCAGCAGACCCAUAAAAACUAAUAAAAGAAAGAUCUAACAUUUAUGGAUCAUUCAUUUUAUGUCAGGGUCUCUGCCAAGCGUCUUACCGGCAUAGUCUCCAGUAUUUCUCCUCAAAAGUUGACCAUGUCAGUAGCAAGCUAUUCCAGGUUUCAGGUGAAGACAAUGACGCUUGGCUGCUUCAUUCUGUUGCUGUGAAAAAUACCAUGCAGCUUAGAGGAAGAACAAACUCAUUUGGAUUACACUGCCAGCCUACAAUCCAUCCCUGAGGAAGUGGAGGCAGGAGCCCAAGUAGGAACCUGAGGUAGAAACCAGACAGAAAUGGCCUUGCUGGCUCACUCUCGGCCUCAUAUUUAAGGUGGUUGUGUGAAUGAGAGGUCCACCAUAGUCUCAGGAAUUUGAAUGCUUGAUCAUCCCUCCUCCAGAAAUGCUAUGAACUUUUAAAGCCUCCUGCCACCCUCUGCUGCUUGUGAUUUGAGAGGUGAUCUCUCAGCUCCCAUUCCAGUCACCAUGCUUUCCCGUUGUCGUGUCUCCACCACAAUGGUGACACACUCCUAUCUCUCUGGAAGUGUAAGCCCCAAGUAAACUCAUCCUUCUGCAAGGUGUCAGGGCCAUGGUGUAAACCAAGAUAGAAAAGUGACUAAUACACUGAGGUAGCUUUCUUACAUGGUCCAGGGCCAUCUGCCCAGGGAAUUAAUGCUACUCACAGUAGGCUGCUCCUUUUUAUGUCAAUUAGCAAUCAAGGCGAUCUCUAUUCAAACAUUUUCACAGGCCAAUCAAACCUAGACAGUUCUUCAGUUGAGACUCAUUUCUUAGUAACUCUGGGUUCUCUGUUAAGAUGGCAGUUAUAGCUAGCUAGGAGAGAUGCCCUGGCUCUUCUCUGGCUCUCUCUGUCUAGGAGUUUAUAUUGGUCCAUUUGGAUUCUGCUGGGCUGACAUCCUUUACUGACAUUGUCUUUCUCACUCACUCGCCUUUGCCGUAAUUGGCAUCAAGAUUUUCAUCUCAUGUAGGAUUUUGUCAAACCUACUACUGCCUAACAAAUACCAUUCAGAUACUAAAAACAAGGAUCAGUGAAAUUGACCUUUGCCCCUGAGAAGCCACCAGUAGAGCAGUGCUGGUCCACAAAUCAAUGUGAGCCACAGUGCAAGGCACCUGGGAGAUGAAUAUAUUGUGUCAAAAGUGAUGGGGGAAUAAAUUUUAAACACUUCAUCAAUACAGCAAAUCAAAAAUGUUAUCACUUAAAGAUUGAA